This 380-nucleotide ribosomal RNA is filed under the name uncultured eukaryote. RNAcentral describes it as "partial 18S ribosomal RNA". It matches the Rfam family "Eukaryotic small subunit ribosomal RNA", at positions 592 to 976 of the family's 1831-position model. The record is from RNAcentral.
CAAUAGCGUAUAUUAAAGUUGUUGCGGUUAAAAAGCUCGUAGUUGGAUUUCUGUUGAGGGCAGCCGGUCCGCACUCGGUGCGUGUAGCUGGUUUGACCUCGGCAUCCUCUCAAAAUACGUUUCUGCGCUUGAUUGCGUGGAGCGGAGUUUGAGACUUUUACUUUGAGGAAAUUAGAGUGUUCACGGCAGGCAAUCGCCUUGAAUAUAUUAGCAUGGAAUAAUAAUAUAGGAUCUUGGUUCUAUUUUGUUGGUUUCUAGAGCUAAGAUAAUGAUUAAUAGGGACAAUUGGGGGCAUUCGUAUUAACGCGUCAGAGGUGGAAUUCUUGGAUUGCGUUACGACGAACUACUGCGAAAGCAUUUGCCAAGGAUGUUUUCAUUGA